Molecule: unclassified non-coding RNA, 932 nt
Filed under: Hevea brasiliensis (rubber tree)
Lineage: Eukaryota; Viridiplantae; Streptophyta; Magnoliopsida; Malpighiales; Euphorbiaceae
Source: RNAcentral
AUUUAUUUGUAUAUAUGUUAAUAUAGCUAGAUAUAUUACACCUAUUCGAGCCAUUAGGAAUCCAGCUAUAUGUAGCUAAUUGGAGAUACAGAGCAUAUAUAACUCGCCCGCUUGUAAUCUUCCCUUCUUUAUUAUUACUUUGUUUCUUUAUUUAUUUUCCCUUUCCCUUCCUUUUUCAUGGCACAUAUGGGGUCAAAUGGUAGAAAGAUCUUUUAGUGGAAAAUACAUUGAUUGGAGACAUGCAGGCCAUUAUAAUUAAAUUAAUUAUAAUUAUUGUCCUCGCCUUCUUCCCCCGGAGCCACUCUCCCUCUGGCAGUUAAAGUAAACAGCGGCCACCGGCAAUCCAAGAUUGUAAAGCUCAGCAAAGUCCCUAGUGUUAAAAUUCUGACGCCACCCAGGUGCAUACACAGUCUGCCUCCCUAGUUGCCGGAAUAAUACGAAAACAAACCGAUGAAUCCCCACCGACGGCCGUGGACUCUCAUAGCACACAACCUCCUGCCCAAAGCCUGCUCCUGUAGUUGCUGGAAUAUCGGUCACCAACCAAUGCAAGUAUUCUCUGAGAGUAGGGUCACUGGGGCUAGGAGCGUCAGGGUCCACCAUGACCAAAGUGUAGAAGAUCCUUAAAUCAUCUCCACCUACAUCAACCCUAGGUUGGUUGACAACUUGAGAGGGUUUGAGCUCACAGCCAUUGUUGACAUGAUCUCUGUUAUUGUAAGUGACAUGAAGAGAAAUAGACCUUGUGAAGGGAUCCAAAACAUCCCCUACCACACGUCCAACAACCAGAGGAUCUCUAGGCAUUUUCAAAUAGGAGAAGCACAAGUGGAGCAGUAAUAUUAUUCUGUUGAUGGGUUGUUGCUAGCUAUGAAAUUCAAUCACAUACAUUAGGUAUUUAUAUAUUGUUCUGAGGUAUCCAGCUUUUACUUUCUAUGCCA